UUUGUUAAUAUUAACUAACAAAAAUCCAUUUUUAUUGUUUCUCAAAUCGACAUCAUGCCUUACGUAUAUUAUAUGGUUGAUAUUCAACCUCGACCAACGGUUGAAGUCUCACUCUCUUAGUGUUCCUCUUAUUUUGUUUCUUUAAAUCCUUUGCGCCAAUCACCAGUAAUCACUCAAACCCCAGUGAGUUUUCUUCAGAGAUUUUUCUUCGGUUUUGUAAUGAACAAGACAACAAUUCAAGGGAUCAAGAUGUGCUUGUGCUCCAUGUCUGGUAAUGGUGACUUUCUGUUUCUAUGGAGAGACACACUUUGAGGUGACACAUAAGCUAUAUGGGAUGUAGAAGUAAUUCAAGAUUGCACUAUAAAUAAAAUGAAAUAUAGUUUCUUUAAUGGGUAUAUGUUUGAUCUGUCAUUAUAUAUAAGAUGUUGUUUAGUGACACUUUUUAUAUGACACUAAAAAUUUAAUGUAUGUAAUGACACUUAAUAUUUUUUUGUCACUAAUGUUGAUAGUUAAUAUUGGUGACAUAAUGAUUUAAUAUGCCAUUAAGAAUUUUAUUUAAUAAAAAAUAUUACAUAAAUAAUUCUUAAAGUAAUUAUGAAAAUUCAGUUAUAAUAUUAAAUUUUCAUUUUUUAUUUCUCUUCUAAUUUUCGUCAAAUAAUUUAUUUCUCUUCAAUUGUGUUCGACUCUUGGGUUCUCUUCCUCUAAUAUACCAUGUUUUACUUUUAACCUAAGUAACGUGAUAUGAUUGAAACCCCACUCCCACAAACGCCGAUAUGAACGCAUUAUCAUCGCCCUCUCUUCGUCGACAUCGGGACAUAACUCCGCCGUUGCUUCCGUCGUGCCGCUGCUGACGCCGUCAUCACCACCACCGCCGCUGCAUCUCCAACUCACGUCUACAUCUCUUCUUCUACAGGUACUCUAUGUCUCGAUUAGCUGUAAUAUUUUUGUUCCAACAUUUAUCGAGUUAGUUUUCCAUCUAUAUAUCUCACAAUUUUUGUUCCUACUCUUCCUAUAUUUAAUUAAUUAUGCUAGUCGAAUAACGAUCGAGCAUAAUUGAAUAUUGUUAUGUUAUUGGAUGUGAAAUUAUAGAAUUCCUUCAUACAGAAUCGAAGUCAAAAUCAGUUCAAGAGAUGAGGAGCAUAGACCUAUGAGUACAGUUAAACUUAAAAGGCUUUGUAGCUUGAUUUACAGCCCUUUAUUAUCUCACGUAGCCCUUCUGGUUUAGAAGUAUUAUCUUUCCCAAUAAAUCCAAAAUCGAUGGGUAAAUCUUCAGUGGCUAAUAAAGAGGAAAGAAAAUAACAAACACUCAUAUAAGGUUAUAGACUUAUAAUAUGUAGGCUUUUAUGAUUUAAGAUUUUCUUGUUUGCUAGAUAUCUGGAGCUGUUGUAGAGAUAUCUUAUACCAAAUCAUCAUGAUCAGUACUUCAACUGAAAACAUGAUUUAGGCUUUCAUAAUGGUCAACUGAUUUAUGACAACCAAGGUGAAUUUGGCUUAAAUUCAUGUGAUAUGACCUUUCCUUAGUGCAUUUACUUUUAUUUUUAAUCAUGAAACAUAUCUCCUUCAUGUAUGUCAUUAUAAAAAGAAAAUGCUUUAGUUCAUCAACAGUAUGAUGGAGUUCAAUUAUUUCAAGUUGAGAUUGUUUUAUAAUGCUCUCAAGAGCACCAGCCUAUGUAUAUAUAAAAGAUAACCAUUUUAGUUAAAAUAAGAUUUUGUGAAAGUGUUUUUUGUGUGAAGAAAGAUCAGAUUACAUUCUUCUUGACAAAACACUCUUUAGUAACAAGGACCCAAUAUGCUCUUUCUCCCUUGCUAAGUGAGUAACUUUUUUGCUUAGACUUUUCACUUCUUGGGUUCUUUCCACUACCAAUUUUAUUUUAUUGUUAUUUUUUUCCCAAAAGUGUUGAACUUAAUUCACUUAUUGACUCCAUUCCAACUAAAGAGGCCAGUAUACUCUCCUCUAUGUCAUUUUCAUGUGGAAGAAAUUAACAAGGAAUCUGAUAAUUAAAGAGGCUUGUAUAUUCUUUUCUAUGUUUAUUGACUUUGUAAUUUGUUUUAGAAACUAGAUGAGACAGUUGUGGAGAGAGUAUUCUUGAAGUCUCUUGAUAACUACAUCUAGUGGUGCACUUACCUAAACGACACACUUAUAUGGAGCUAGUAUGACAUUUCUACCCCUAUGAUAUUUUUAGGGUUAGCUAGAGCUCAGAUCCCUUAGUUUUUCUUUUGCUUUUGCAGUUUAAAUAUUAAUAGAGAAAAGAAUAUACUUUUCAUCUCUUUGAACUUUUUUGGUAUGGGGUGAAGCUGCCAAUGCUAUAUUCCUUCCGGAAUGUUUAUGCUACAUAUUUCAUAGUGUAAGGAGGUAUUUUAUUUGAUAUGUAGGUGUAUAAAACCAUUAUUAUGUUCUAUAAGUUUUACUUAAAGUUUAAUAAAUAGAUGGGAGGCGAAUUGUGUGGAUUAUAAAGCGAGCAGCUUGCAAAGCCAACCACUAGUUGUAUUACUAAAAAUGGUGUAAUUACAUUUCUUGAACAAGUCAUAUGCUUUCUUUAUAAUGUAUUUGUUGUAGUAUGUUGUGUAUUUACAAUUUUGCCAUUAUCACCAUUUCAAGAGUUUUGUUUUGUAUGUGGAAAGGUUUUUUUUUUAUUUUUUUUUACAGGAAGCUGAUAACAAUGAAAAUGGGAAAGCUCCUGAUUCUGCAUGAAGAGAUUGUGAUGAUUUCAAUAAGUACUUACGAAUAUAUUGAACGCAAGAAUCACCAAAUGUCGUGGGAAAACCUCUUUUGUUGAGUAACAAAUGUUCUACCAUAUUUAACAUAGCGUUGACCGCUUGUGGAUACUCCUUUUCAUGAUGUUUCAGGUUUGAUUUUUUCCCUCAAUUUCUUGUACUUUGUACAUUUUGCCAAUACAAUGUGUUAAUUCCAAAUUGAGAAAUUGCUUUAUGAACAGUCCCGCUACAAAAAAACAAUAAAUUUAUUUGGAAAAAAGUCAUAUUUUGCAAUCAUAUUGCACACUUGAUCAUAUUUUGUGAAAAUAUUGAUGUUAUCGCAAAAUAAAAAGAUAUGUGGUCAAUUUUCAAUUGACACGUUGGGAAAUAUGUGGUUGUAUUGUUAAAAGCCAAAAGGCCGGUCAAUAUAUUAAAAUGUGACCACUAAUUUUGUUCUUAUUAUGAUAUGUUACUUAUAGCAUUGAAAACAGUGGUGAACAUCUAGCAACAUUUCAUUGCCCUCAGUAACAUAUAUAUGAUGAAGUGUCAUUCAUCAAAAUCCAAAUUCCAAAUAGCUUAUAGUUUCGAUUGAAGUACUAAGGUGACGUAUCAGUUAUCCCUUUGUUUUAAACAUCAUGUUGAGCAUGAGAUGUUGAUCACAUUCUCAGUUGAUGUUUAACUUUAGUUGGGUGCCUUAGAUGUCCUACUCUUAACGCAUAAGAGAAACAAAUUUCUUUUUGACUACAUAUGCCUCUUAUGCAGAUCAUAUUGUAGCUAAUGAUGAGCUUAUGACAUGACUGCCUAGUUAAAGAGAAGGUAAGAACCAUAUUAAAGCACAAUACUCCUCACAUUUGAGCCCCUAAUAUACAUCUCAGUUUUAAGGAUACAAACAUAAUAUUUUAUUCUGGAGUCACUCAUGAUGACAAUCCACAAAGUGAUCUUGAAAUUGGUCAAGUCCAAUACUUGUCUCUUAACAAGUAUCUAUGAACUUGGUUGCAACCCUUUGCUAAUUUCAACCUAUGAAAUUUAACCAAUUCAAUUUAUAUUAGUCUUCCUUUAUAAUUGUUAUUAUGAUUGACUACGGCCCUUUUAAAAUAACUAGAUUUAUUCAAGGAUUAAAUAUGCUAACAUAGAGCACAACAAACACUAAUGAAAGUAUCAUAUCACUAUAUAUCAAAUUCAUUACAUAAUUGUUGCUUGCAAUGUUCUAACAUCAAAAUAGUAAAUCUAAAUCAAGUCCAUUCACUAAAUCAACUCUACCGUGAGUUCGUGAUGCUCAUGCUUUGCCGAUGGUAAUGGCUUUAGGAAUGGGUCUGUAACAUUUUGAUCUGUAGAACUUCGCGAAUACAAACAUAUCCAUCUUCAACUAUAUUUUGAAUGCAGUUGAAUCUUUAUUGGAUUUGUGCCAAUUUCUCUUAUGUGAUUUGGGUUCCUUAGCUAACACAAUGACACCCUCAUUAUCACAAAAUCUCUAGGGGGUCCUGAAAUAAAAGGACAAACCCUAGAUCUUCAUUAAAUUUCUUCAUACAUACUACUUCUAAAUAAUCGAUGUAUUCCGACUAUGUAGUAGAUUGAACAACACUUUACUUGGAGCUCUUCCAAGAAACCACGCCUCUAUUAAUAGUGAAUACAAAUCCAAAUUACGAUUUAGAAUCAUCUAUGCCUAUUUGGCAGAUAACAUCAGUGUAACACUUUGUAAGUGCUUCAAAAUGUUCUUUACAACAAUUCAAUGACGUCUCCUGGAUUUUGUUGGUAUCUAUUUGUCAUGAUCAAAGCAUACGAUACAUAUAGUCUUGUGUAUAACAUGACAUAAAUGAUGGAUCUAGCUGUAGAAUCAUAUGGAUUACCAUCUCUAGCUUAACUUUGUCACAUUGAUCAAUCUCUAUAGAUCUUUAUACCGUGAAUAUAAGUGGCUUCACCCAAAUCUUUCAUUGAGAAACAUUUCUCAAGCGAAGCCUUAACUCCUCUUAAAGAAGGUAGGAAUGUGACACUGCUCCCACUGGUUUUUUUGUAAACACAUGACUCAUCUUCAUUUUGAAUAAAACCAAUCUUUGAUUUUCUCAUCAAAGUGAUGAUUCCAACUUUGAGAUGCUUGAUUUAAUGCAUAAACGGAUAUUUUAAGUUUACACACUUUAUCAAGAUACUUUGGGCCGACAAAACCUUCACGUUUAGACAUAUAGACAUCUUGAGAUAAAUAUCCAUUAAGAAAAGUCGUUUUGAUGUCCAUUUUCCAUAUAUGAUAGUCAUAAUAGACGGUUAUGGAAAAUAGUAUCCUUAUAGACUUGAUCAUAGCCACAGGAGAGAAGGUUUGCUCAUAGCCGACACCGUGAGUUUGAGUGUAACUUUUUUCCAACUUUGAGAUGCUUGGUUUUCUUUUUGAAAACCCACUUACUCUGUAUAGUCUUACUGCAGGGAUGUGGAUCUACCAAGUCGCAUACUUGAUUCUCAUGCAUGGAUUGAAUCUCAAUGUUCAUGGCUUUAAACCGUUUGUCAGAUUCAGAAUCUAACAUGGCACUCUGGUAAUUUGAUAGGUUCAUCGAAAUCCACAAGAAAACACUCAUCAAUGAGAAAUCCAUAUCUCUUUGGUUCUUGAUGAACUAUACCAUAUAUGCGAACACUUUUUGUUUCAUUGAGUUCAUGAUCAAUAAUUUGUUUAGGUUCAACAACUUCUUGUUGUGUACUAGUUUCAACCUCUGGUGUAUUAGGCUGUCGUUCUUCUUCAAGUUCUACAUGUCUUCCAAUCGCUCUAUGUAUUAGAAACUUGAUUUGUAAGAAUAAAAUCUUUAUAGCAAUAAACACUUUAUUUUCAGUGAGAA
Non-coding RNA from Lactuca sativa (garden lettuce), 5510 nucleotides. The record is from RefSeq and is a predicted model, not a curated record. Lineage: Eukaryota; Viridiplantae; Streptophyta; Magnoliopsida; Asterales; Asteraceae.